This 517-nucleotide ribosomal RNA is filed under the name uncultured eukaryote. RNAcentral describes it as "bacterial SSU rRNA". It matches the Rfam family "Eukaryotic small subunit ribosomal RNA", at positions 21 to 551 of the family's 1831-position model. The record is from RNAcentral.
UAGUCAUAUGCUUGUCUUAAAAACUAACCCAUGCAUGUCUCAUUAUAAGCUCUUGUACGGGGAGACUGCAAAUGGCUCAUUAAAACAGUUAUAAUUUCCUUGAUGAUCAAAUCACUAUGUGGACAACUGUGGUAAUUCUAAAGCUAAUACAUGCUUGCAAACCCAACCCCGGAAAGGGUUGUGCGUAUUAAAAACUGGACUAACCCGCUCCGGCGGCCGCACGUUGAUUCAUAAUACUCCAACAAAUCGCAUUGGCAAUAAAUCAUUCAAGUUUCUGACCUAUCACCUUUCAAUGGUAGGGUAUUGGCCUACCAUGGCUUUGACGGGAAACGAAAAAUUAGGGUUCAUUUCCGGAAAGGGAGCCCAAAAAACGGCUACCACAUCUAAGGAAGGCAGCAGGCGCGUAAAUUACCCAAUCCUGAUACAGGGAGGUAGUGACAAAAAAUACCAAUACAAACCAUCUUUGCUCUGUAAUUGAAAUGAGAACAAUCUAAACCUAUUAACAAGUAUCCAUUGA